AUGGGAGGCCUCUGCUCAAAAGUCUCUGCAGUAGACAAGUCGCCGAGCGACACCGCGCUCGGCAGGAACCAGGUAUUCGAUCAUGAGCCGGUGGUGGCGUUGAAGGAGGAGAAGAAGUCGGUGUCCGAAGAGGCCGCGGCGAAGAGGGUGGAAGAGCAGCAGCAGCAGCAGCAGUCUUUCUCGUUCUUGGAGAGCGUCGUGCCCGGCCUUGCUGUGCAUAAUGGUGCAGAUGCUGAGCACACAGGGUCCAGGACACCACAACUGGCUCGGACACUGUCGCAAAAGGCUGGUCUGGGCAAGGCCAAGGUUUCGGAAAUGAGCACAAUUUUAGGUAGAGCUAGCACUGUUGGGCUUGGGAAAGCUGUGGAGGUUCUAGACACACUUGGUAGUAGCAUGGCAAGUUUAAAUGCUAGCAGUGGCUUUGUGUCAAGUUCUGGAGCAAAGGGAAAUAAAAUAUCUAUUUUGGCUUUUGAGGUGGCAAAUACAAUAGUUAAGGGUUCCAAUCUAAUGCGUUCUCUGUCAAAUUCUAACAUAAAGCAUAUAAAAGAAGUGGUGCUUCACUCAGAAGGUGUCCAACACCUGAUAUCCAAAGAUAUGGAUGAACUACUUGAGAUUGCAGCCGCUGACAAAAGGGAAGAGUUAGAUGUAUUCUCAAAAGAGAUUAUUCGUUUUGGCAAUCGUUGCAAGGAUACUCAGUGGCACAACUUGGACCGCUACUUUGAAAAGUUGGCGUCAGAAAGAACUUCCCAGUAUUCCAUGAAACGAGAUGCCGAGACCGUGAUGCAGCAGUUGAUAAUUUGUGUUCAGUAUACAGCUGAAUUAUAUCAUGAGUUGCAUGCAUUGGAUAGGUUUGAGCAAGACUAUCGUCGUAAACAUCAAGAACAUGAUGACUUGAGUUUAACAGAUGACAGUCUGCAUAUACUAAAGCAGGAAGUGAAGAGCCAAAGCAAGCAUGUUAAAAGUUUGAAAAGAAAGUCACUUUGGUCCAAGAAUUUGGAAGAGGUGAUUGAAAAGCUUGUAGACAUCGUCCACUUCUUAGAUCUGGAGAUUUACGAUGCCUUUGGUCAUGCUGAGAGUGAAGAACCACAAGAACCCGUGAAACGCCAUAAGAGAUUGGGACCAGCAGGCCUUGCGCUCCAUUAUGCAAAUAUCAUCAAUCAGAUUGACACACUUGUUUCCCGGUCAAGUUCUAUCUCUUCAAACACGAGGGAUAAUCUAUACCAAGGUUUGCCGCCUACCGUCAAAUCUGCUCUCCGGCCUAAGCUACAAUCUUUUGAGAUAAAAGAAGAGCUUACGGUUUCUCAAAUCAAAGCUGAAAUGGAGAAAACUUUGCGAUGGCUUGUCCCUAUUGCCCAUAAUACGACUAAGGCACACCACGGCUUUGGUUGGGUUGGAGAGUGGGCAAAUACAGGAUCUGAGCUGAGCUGCAAGCUAUCAGGACAGAUGGACUUGACCCGGAUCGAGACACUGUAUAAUGCUGAGAAGGACAAGACUGAAGCACAUAUCCUUGAGCUUGUUGUGUGGCUUCAUCAUCUCAUCAGUAAAUCCAGAGCAGCCAAUGGAGAUAUAAGGUCUCCUAUCAAAUCUCCUGUCCGUUCACCGACACAAAAGGGUCAUACAAUUAGGUUGCAGCUGGACCCAGCGAACAAUUCAUCGCCGAUUCUCACACCAGAGGAUCAGGAUAUGCUGAGGUGUGUCAAGUACAGGAAAUUCGUCCCUGGGAUAAGCAAAAGUCAAGAAUUCGACACGAAGUCAAGGCACGACAAACAUAGCAGAUUGUGCAAGAGCAAUAGCCAUUCUCCAACCAGUGGAAACAGGAAAGAUCUGCUAUCAUUUAGGAGGUUCUCCAUGCUCCCUGUCAUAGACUUCGAGAUUGAUAGGACAAAGGCUUUGGAUUUAAUUGACAGGCUUGAUGGUCUGGAAAUUCAGUCAGGAAUCAACUGA
Molecule: ribosomal RNA, 1944 nt
Filed under: Triticum aestivum (bread wheat)
Lineage: Eukaryota; Viridiplantae; Streptophyta; Magnoliopsida; Poales; Poaceae
Description: partial small subunit ribosomal RNA
Source: RNAcentral